CCUCCUGCUCUUUGCUCCGUGAGAAAGAUCCACCUACGACCUCAGGUCCUCAGACCGACUAGCCCAAGAAACAUCUCACCAAUUUCAAAUCUGACCUUUGCAAGAGGGUCCAAGACAUUUGCAUCAUCAUUCAGUGAGACCUGUAAACACAGCAUCUGCCUUUGACCACAUCCAUCUGGAAGAACCUGAGAGAUAAUCCAUUUUAUGAAAUUUUCCCUACCCUGAAAUGGGAGAAUGGAACCAAGUUCUGGAGAAGCUCCUGGGCUGCUAGAACUGGGUGCUGGAGAAACCAGGUAUGCUGAAGGAGGUUGAUGAAACAAACACACUGGAAUCAGAAAGAGAAUCCCCUUCCUCCUGCAGUAUUCCACCAAUACCUUCUACUGACAAAGCUUAACAUUAUGUCACCUGACUUAGAAGAAAUAUUUGCAGGGUCCAGCUGCAUUAUCCACAGAAUAGUGAAUGAAGGAUGGAGUUGGAGCUGAAAGAAAAUAAGCUGACAACUGGCACAGUAAAGUAUUUGGCUCCACCAUCUCUACGUACACCCUUCUAUACAUAUUUACACUUCUGUGCAACAGUGAAACAACUCUAUAUUUCACCUAAAAAGAUACAGCUGUCUUAAAAUGUAAAGAAGUCCUCAGCUUUGCUUUACAAUGAGGAGAUGCACAGUCUCCGUUGUCAUUAUUUCCAUCAUUGGCUAUAUAUUAAAUAUUUCUAAAAUCCUGUCACAGUCUCUGUUACCUAAAAAUAAAUUUGUAAAAUUAACUCCUAAGAACUUAUAUGUAAAAUAAAAAUAAUAAGAAAAUGUUAGCUUAUAUGAGGGGUCUUCAAAAAGUUCACGGAAAAUGUGUAUUUUAUAUAUAUAUAAAAAUAGAUGUGUGGAUUUCAAACAUUUUCGGCACAAAAGUAAACUCGUGCUAACUUGUUAUAACAUGCCUGAACAGAAUCUAAUUUGAAGCACUGAGAAGGAUAAGGCAUCCAUUUGAAAAGGACUCCUAUAUUGCAACAUGAAUUCUGCUAAAAUUGAAGCAAGAACAAACAUCAAAUUUAUGAUGAAGUUUGGGUAGAAGAACGAUGAAAUUAGUGAUGCUUUAUAAAAAGUUUAUUGGGACAAUACCCCAAAUGAAUCAGCAGUUUAAAAAUGGAUA
RNAcentral lists this long non-coding RNA (1145 nucleotides) under Pan troglodytes (chimpanzee). Its description in RNAcentral is "lincRNA". Lineage: Eukaryota; Metazoa; Chordata; Mammalia; Primates; Hominidae. The record is from RNAcentral.